GGCCACGGGAGGUGGGUUUCCUGUGCCAGUUUCUUUAGGUGUCUCUUAAGAAUUUCAUACAUCUUUCCCGCUUUCCCUGAGGACUGAGGCCUCCAAGCACAAUCUUCGCAGGGAUGAUCCGC
Long non-coding RNA from Sapajus apella (tufted capuchin), 122 nucleotides. RefSeq lists it as uncharacterized. The transcript is spliced from 3 exons. The record is from RefSeq and is a predicted model, not a curated record. Lineage: Eukaryota; Metazoa; Chordata; Mammalia; Primates; Cebidae.